GGGACAGGCUCCCGGCCGGGACCUCGGAAGAGCUUAGGCUCCGCCCUACUUGCUCAGCGUUCCCGCCCUCGCUCCGCCUCUCCACGGCCUCAGGCGCAUCUGCGCUUCUCGCGAUACCUUCGGGGAUUUGUGAUGUUUUGGUUUCCAUGGAGCUGCCCUCUGGGAGCACGAGGGGUACAAUUGGAACGAAGGCGGCGCACAGUUAACUGGAACUCUGCAGCCGUCCAAGCCCAAAGAAGGUGGGGAGCUUGGGAAAGAAGUUCCUCAUAAUCGGAGCAGGAGGAGCCCGCCCAGCCUCGCUCAAAGGAGGAGACGAGACUCUGAGGGACAAUUUAGAAGUGUGUCCUCAAUUUAAGACACCUAAAUAGGGAACUGUGGGGCUGUGGGCCUUAGGAGAGAAAAGGAGAGCCCCAGAGAGAGCACCCCUAUGCUGCGGAAGAGGGACUAAAGAGAUGGCAGUCCUUCCAGGAGGGAUUGGACAGAUAUUCAGGCGUCCGGUGGCCUGCAGGCCCCCAUCAGAGUGGGCUGCAAUUGGCCCAGACCUGCUUCCUACUUUGUUUUCUCCGGUUUCACCCCCAGCUUCUCUCGCAAGCAACCACCUGGUGAUUCCUGACGAGGCCUGACUUCCGGAAGGCAAGCCACGCCCUCCGGGCUCCCCUGCCUCUCUUUGGCUCCAGCUUGGCAUGUAUAGGAGCUGCCCAAGGAAUGACAGACUUCUUGUUCUUGAGGUGUUGGCAAAGCUUCCUGCACUGCUGACCUAUCCAAGUCCUGCCUUGUAGCUGCUCUUGGGCAUAGGUUACUCUUGGCUCUGCCAACCACCCGUACAGGACUAAUUGCAGUUUUACCUCAACGUGCGCUUUUUACAAUUAAAAACUGACUUAAUGGCUUCUAUUUCCCUGCCUCAACAAAAAAAAUUUACUCUCUCUGAACCCAAA
Molecule: long non-coding RNA, 935 nt
Organism: Homo sapiens (human)
Lineage: Eukaryota; Metazoa; Chordata; Mammalia; Primates; Hominidae
Source: Ensembl